UGCCUUUCACCAAUUCUUUUCACAAAACAUACAAAUACAACUCUCAAAAAUGUUAGAGACCUAUGCAGAACAAUGAGUUCGGUUUUCUCGUGUGUAUGGUGUUAACGAUCUGUGCCAGAGAGUUUCUGAUAGAUGGACCCAAAGGGUUGGACCAUUCGAUCAGACCAUCAGCUAUACACUGACUCGGUUCAUGGUCAUGGAUAAUGCUGUGUUCGUCUACCAUCCAAGCCAAGAUUAGGUGCUUCAAGAGACGCUUAUGAUAGCUGCACCACAGAUGCAUCCAACACUAAAUUUACAGAUGGACACACAUCCCUCAUCCUCCCGGAAACACAGUUUCGCCUUGUUUCCUCUGUUUUGUCUUCUGCUCUCAUUGUUACUCUGUUUCUUUAUCUUUUCAGCUCAGUUGGUAAAUUGGCGUAUGUGUGUGUUGUUGUUGUUUAUUUCU
Long non-coding RNA from Arabidopsis thaliana (thale cress), 445 nucleotides. RefSeq annotates it as other RNA. The record is from RefSeq. The transcript has 2 exons. Lineage: Eukaryota; Viridiplantae; Streptophyta; Magnoliopsida; Brassicales; Brassicaceae.